GAGGAAUAUUGGUCAAUGGACGAGAGUCUGAACCAGCCAAGUAGCGUGAAGGAUGAAGGUUCUAUGGAUUGUAAACUUCUUUUAUACGGGAAUAAACGAAUCCACGCGUGGAUUUUUGCAUGUACCGUAUGAAUAAGGAUCGGCUAACUCCGUGCCAGCAGCCGCGGUAAUACGGAGGAUCCGAGCGUUAUCCGGAUUUAUUGGGUUUAAAGGGAGCGUAGAUGGGUUGUUAAGUCAGUUGUGAAAGUUUGCGGCUCAACCGUAAAAUUGCAAUUGAUACUGGCAGUCUUGAGUACAGUUGAGGUAGGCGGAAUUCGUGGUGUAGCGGUGAAAUGCUUAGAUAUCACGAAGAACUCCGAUUGCGAAGGCAGCUUACUAACCUGUAACUGACAUUGAUGCUCGAAAGUGUGGGUAUCAAACAGGAUUAGAUACCCUGGUAGUCCACACGGUAAACGAUGAAUACUCGCUGUAGGCGAUAUACGGUCUGCGGCCAAGCGAAAGCAUUAAGUAUUCCACCUGGGGAGUACGCCGGCAACGGUGAAACUCAAAGGAAUUGACGGGGGCCCGCACAAGCGGAGGAACAUGUGGUUUAAUUCGAUGAUACGCGAGGAACCUUACCCGGGCUUAAAUUGCAACCGAAUAUGGCGGAAACGCCAUAGCUAGCAAUAGCGGUUGCGAAGGUGCUGCAUGGUUGUCGUCAGCUCGUGCCGUGAGGUGUCGGCUUAAGUGCCAUAACGAGCGCAACCCUUGCCGAUAGUUACUAACAGGUUAUGCUGAGGACUCUGUCGGGACUGCCAUCGUAAGAUGUGAGGAGGGUGGGGAUGACGUCAAAUCAGCACGGCCCUUACGUCCGGGGCUACACACGUGUUACAAUGGGGGGUACAGAGGGCUGCUACCACGCAAGUGGAUGCCAAUCCCAAAAACCUCUCUCAGUUCGGAUUGAAGUCUGCAACCCGACUUCAUGAAGCUGGAUUCGCUAGUAAUCGCGCAUCAGCCACGGCGCGGUGAAUACGUUCCCG
Molecule: ribosomal RNA, 1019 nt
Filed under: uncultured organism
Description: bacterial SSU rRNA
Rfam family: Bacterial small subunit ribosomal RNA
Source: RNAcentral